GCUGGCGGCGUGCCUAACACAUGCAAGUCGAACGAGAAAGUGGAGCAAUCCAUGAGUACAGUGGCGGCCGGGUGAGUAACACGUGACCAAUCUACCCUCGAGUGGGGAAUAACGCCGGGAAACCGGGGCUAAUACCGCAUAACAUCCUCGGAUCGGAAGAACUGGGGAUCAAAGGAGCAAUUCGCUUGAGGAGGAGGUCGCGGCUGAUUAGCUAGUUGGCGGGGUAAUGGCCCACCAAGGCGAAGAUCGGUAUCCGGCCUGAGAGGGCGCACGGACACACUGGAACUGAAACACGGUCCAGACUCCUACGGGAGGCAGCAGUGGGGAAUUUUGCGCAAUGGGGGAAACCCUGACGCAGCAACGCCGCGUGGAGGAUGAAGUCCCUUGGGACGUAAGCUCCUUUCGACCCGGACGAUUAUGACGGUACGGGUGGAAGAAGCACCGGCUAACUUCGUGCCAGCAGCCGCGGUAAUACGAGGGGUGCGAGCGUUGUUCGGAAUUAUUGGGCGUAAAGGGCGCGUANGCGGUGCGGUAAGUCACCUGUGAAAUCUCCCGGCUCAACUGGGAGCUUGCAGGCGAAACUGC
This 585-nucleotide ribosomal RNA is filed under the name uncultured bacterium. RNAcentral describes it as "bacterial SSU rRNA". It matches the Rfam family "Bacterial small subunit ribosomal RNA", at positions 35 to 636 of the family's 1533-position model. The record is from RNAcentral.